AAUUACAACUUCCUACGUCUCCGCGCGUGAUCGUCUUUGUAUAACGCAACGUGAGAUAGGAUAACGAAGGCCAAUUUAAUUUAGAAUCCGCGUAUGAUUGUAUUAUAAGUUUGGUUUAUCUCUGCCGUAACACAGUAGUAGGUAUAUCUAAAUAUCAUAUCACAACGAAUUGUAAUUGUAUCUGACUACGUGGGAGAAUACUAAUUUAUAUCACGCUCACAACUACGAGCAUCGUACAUACACCUAAUCAUCAAAAUUUGUACAUUACUAGCAAAUAUUCCGACUACCUUUGGCCAAGAAAUAUCGGACUAUUUCAAACGAAUACAUUGAACGUGUGGUUUGCAACGAAAUAUUUUUCACGAAAGCAAUCUAGCGGUAUCGUUGGAGAAGACCAACGGUAUCCUUCCCGGUUAAAUGACUAGUCGAGGUAUAAAAAAGGGCUGGCCAAUUUUUUUGCUCGUUGGCCGUUCUCCAGGAAGGACGACGUAACCCAGCCGUGAGCCGGUCGAUGCGGAAGAACUUUUUCAUGCAAACUUUUUCGCAUACCCCUUUGCUCUUAUAGUUGCUGCCAGCUUAUCGAAGCGGAAGCGCCGAAGAGGUUGGAGGAAAGAGGAACGAGAGAACGAGGCUACGCGAAUGCUGUAAGCGAAGGAGAGUGGAAUCGCAAGAAGAAAUUCCAAAGGAACCCGUGCAUCCACGGUAAUUUGGCAAAGUUUGGCUGUUAUGGGCUGUAUCUCAAGGCUGAAUUCGAGACGCGAGGAAGGAGGAUGAAGAAGGAUGGAACGAUAGAAGAAUUUGGUUUUCAAUUUCUAUCACGUCUUCGCAUCACCGAGCUUCCGUUCCCUUCGAUUACGUUCUACCAUCACGUGUCAUUUACAUUUUGGUUCUUCUUUCUCAAUUUUGUAUCUUUUCUCGAGAAUGUCUUUCGGCCGUGCAGGUAGAAAGGAAGAUAAAUAAAACGAUCGAACUUCACAUAUUGUAUCGCGAUUGAUGUUUUUAAAUUAUUACGACCAUAAUCUUCGAAGCGCUAUUAUACGUUUUUAUCGCGUCGAUUUAUUAUUUUCACCUGCUGGGAUAAAAACUAUCCUUUGAAAUAAGGCUUAACGAUAAAUUAGGACAUAUUUUAAUUACGUUUAAUUACGAAUAAGCAUAGUAUGCGAGCGAGUGUUAGUGAAAUUGCGGCAUUAUCGCGACUUCCUAUUUUCUCUUGUAAAAUUCACGACCUUCGAAAUUUUCGUAAUUGCGUAAACAGGCAAUCUGCUUGAGAUAACACGAGAUACGAAAGCCGAGUCUAUUUUGUAUUGCGGCCCCGUAAUCUACAUGGCGUUAAGACGAGAAAAAGGCAAAAAAGAGAAAAUCCAAAGAACGAAGAAAAGAAACUUA
This is a long non-coding RNA of Bombus huntii, 1383 nucleotides long. RefSeq lists it as uncharacterized. The transcript is spliced from 4 exons. NCBI's taxonomy places the organism in Eukaryota, Metazoa, Arthropoda, Insecta, Hymenoptera, Apidae. The record is from RefSeq and is a predicted model, not a curated record.